RNAcentral lists this transfer RNA (73 nucleotides) under Schistocerca americana (American grasshopper). RNAcentral describes it as "tRNA-Ala". It matches the Rfam family "tRNA". From Rfam's summary of the family: Transfer RNA (tRNA) molecules are approximately 80 nucleotides in length. Their secondary structure includes four short double-helical elements and three loops (D, anti-codon, and T loops). Lineage: Eukaryota; Metazoa; Arthropoda; Insecta; Orthoptera; Acrididae. The record is from RNAcentral.
GGGGGCGUAGCUCAGUUGGUAGAGCGUUCGCUUUGCAUGUGAUAGGUCCCGGGUUCAAGCCCCGGCGCCUCCA